Small nuclear RNA from Lontra canadensis (Northern American river otter), 119 nucleotides. RefSeq annotates it as U5 spliceosomal RNA. NCBI's taxonomy places the organism in Eukaryota, Metazoa, Chordata, Mammalia, Carnivora, Mustelidae. The transcript has a single exon. The record is from RefSeq and is a predicted model, not a curated record.
UGAGUCUGUCUUCAGAUCGCAUAAAUCUUUUGCCUUUUACUAAAGAUUUCCGUGGAGAGGAACAAUUCUGAGUCUUAAUCCUGAGACUGUCUUACGCAUUCCAUUUGGCUUCCAUGAAG